UACGAAGGGGGCUAGCGUUGUUCGGAAUUACUGGGCGUAAAGCGCGCGCAGGCGGUCUUCCAAGUCAGUGGUGAAAGCCCGGAGUUCAACUCCGGAACUGCCAUUGAAACUGUUAGACUUGAGGAUGAGAGAGGUGAGUGGAAUUCCCAGUGUAGAGGUGAAAUUCGUAGAUAUCGGGAGGAACACCGGUGGCGAAGGCGGCUUCUGGACGAUAACUGACGCUGAGACGCGAAAGCGUGGGAGCAAACAGG
Molecule: ribosomal RNA, 251 nt
Filed under: uncultured bacterium
Lineage: Bacteria
Description: partial 16S ribosomal RNA
Rfam family: Bacterial small subunit ribosomal RNA
Source: RNAcentral